Molecule: long non-coding RNA, 1072 nt
Filed under: Marmota monax (woodchuck)
Lineage: Eukaryota; Metazoa; Chordata; Mammalia; Rodentia; Sciuridae
Source: RNAcentral
GAAAACUCCCUUCCAUUGUCAGCUCACAUCUGGAGGGAGGAGGGGAGAUUAGCCUGGAGUCAGAGGGGCCAGGGCACCCCUCAGGAUAGGUGGCAUUGGCGCAGAGAUGCCCAGGGCCAUCCAGGCCUGUGCCACCCACUCUCUCCUUGGCAAAGGAAGCCUGGAGCCCCUGCCUGCUGUCCCUCCAUGCUGGCAGGAGAUGUCUUCAUAUAAUAUUGAUUGGCUUGCACAGAACCUGGGUUGUCAGGAUGAAAGUCUGGAGACUCUGCAUGUAAAUUAACGUGUUCUGUGGUCCUUAACCUUUUCCUUCCACGCACUCCUCGGACACAUCGGUGGAGCCCCCAGAAAUGCCAGGAUGCAGCCCUGGCUCAGGCAGCCCUGGAGAAACAGGGCCUGUGAGAGUCUCACAGUUUUCCUUGCACAGGGCUAUAGGGUACUUCUGGCUCCGGGGCUUGUCUCCACAUAGAGAGCUAUCUGUUCAUCCUUCAGUCUCUCCAGAGACACCCUGGUGCCAAGUGCCACCAGAGCCAGGCCAGGGAGUCUACAGUCAGCCAGCCCUUGGCCCUGGUCCCCCAGGGAUGGAGCUGGCACUGAGCUGAUAGGACCUUCCUCUGGGUCCUGCCAUCCCAUGCGCCUCACUCCUGUGCUGGGACCUAGAAGGCACCUCAGCCUGGCUCGGUGCCUGGGCUUCAUGCCCUGGGGUGGAAGGAUUGAGGGACACAGGUGAGGAGGCACCCAUGGGUCUCUGCCCCACAUCUGUGAAGGGGGAGCCGGGCCCAUGGGAGCAGGGCUAGGAAGGCAGCUGCCCAGCCUGAGGGAGUAUGGAAAGAUGGGAUGAAGCCGCAGCAGGGCUCCCAAGGCCCUGAGAGGGAGCGGCACCCUUCCCUGUGGUGCCUGGAGGGAGGUGGGUGAGGAGCGAGUGAUGGCUGCCUGGCAGAGAAGGAAGGGCAGGGCUUCAGCUUCCCACAGGCCUCGACCUCCAGGAUACCUGUGAGAGUCUACAGCCCAUCUCCUCCCAGCUGUCCCCAGGUGCUGGCUCUGGGUCCCCUGCAGGUCCCAGGCCCGCCCAGGC